GACGUAGGAGGCGAGCGUUAUCCGGAUUUAUUGGGCGUAAAGGGCAAGUAGGCGGUUGUCAAAGUUGGGCGUGACAACUCCCGGCUCAACUGGGAGGGUGCGUUCAAAACUAGGCAACUAGAGGGCAGGAGAGGGAAGUGGAAUUCCCAGUGUAGCGGUGGAAUGCUCAGAUAUUGGGAAGAACACCAGUGGCGAAGGCGGCUUCCUGGCCUGCACCUGACGCUGAGAGGCGAAAGCUAGGGUAGCAAACGGGCUUAGAUACCCCGGUAGUCCCUGAGCGGG
RNAcentral lists this ribosomal RNA (282 nucleotides) under uncultured prokaryote. RNAcentral's name for it is "partial 16S ribosomal RNA". It matches the Rfam family "Bacterial small subunit ribosomal RNA", at positions 524 to 803 of the family's 1533-position model. The record is from RNAcentral.